UACGUAGGUGACCAGCGUUGUCCGGAUUUACUGGGCGUAAAGAGCGCGCAGGCGGUCGAUCAAGUCGAGUGUGAAAGCCCCCGGCUCAACUGGGGAGGGUCAUUCGAAACUGGUCGACUCGAAGGCAGGAGAGGGUAGUGGAAUUCCCGGUGUAGUGGUGAAAUGCGUAGAUAUCGGGAGGAACACCAGUGGCGAAGGCGACUACCUGGCCUGUUCUUGACGCUGAGGCGCGAAAGCUAGGGGAGCAAACGGG
Molecule: ribosomal RNA, 253 nt
Filed under: uncultured bacterium
Lineage: Bacteria
Description: partial 16S ribosomal RNA
Rfam family: Bacterial small subunit ribosomal RNA
Source: RNAcentral